Molecule: ribosomal RNA, 404 nt
Filed under: uncultured bacterium
Lineage: Bacteria
Description: bacterial SSU rRNA
Rfam family: Bacterial small subunit ribosomal RNA
Source: RNAcentral
AAGAAACGCUAGCAACGGAUAUAACACAUGCAAGUCAAUGUUUCCACAUGGCGUACGAGUGAGUAAUAAAUCGGAAUCUACUUGAAAAUUAGGGCUAUAUCAUAAUCCCUAAUAACCAAAGAGUGUCUCGUUUUCAAAAGAGCCGAUUGAGGAUAAGGUAGUUGGUAAGAUAAUAGCUUACCAAGCCUAUGAACCUUAGCUGGUCUUAACGGACGAUCAGCCACGACGGUACUGAAACAAGGACCGUUCUCAGGUAUCUCCCGAGGCAGCAGUGGAGAAUAUUGGACAAUGGGCGAAAGCCUGAUCCAGUCACGUUGCGUGGGUCACCCUUUCAUCAAGGAAGAUAAUGACCUUACUUGAAGAAGAAGUCCUGGCUAACCUCGUGCCAGCAGCCGCAGUAACAC